This 460-nucleotide ribosomal RNA is filed under the name uncultured bacterium. RNAcentral describes it as "partial 16S ribosomal RNA". It matches the Rfam family "Bacterial small subunit ribosomal RNA", at positions 338 to 795 of the family's 1533-position model. The record is from RNAcentral.
CCUACGGGAGGCAGCAGUGAGGAAUAUUGGUCAAUGGACGAGAGUCUGAACCAGCCAAGUAGCGUGAAGGAUGACUGCCCUAUGGGUUGUAAACUUCUUUUAUAUGGGAAUAAAACGUUCCACGUGUGGGAUUUUGUAUGUACCAUAUGAAUAAGGAUCGGCUAACUCCGUGCCAGCAGCCGCGGUAAUACGGAGGAUCCGAGCGUUAUCCGGAUUUAUUGGGUUUAAAGGGAGCGUAGGUGGAUUGUUAAGUCAGUUGUGAAAGUUUGCGGCUCAACCGUAAAAUUGCAGUUGAAACUGGCAGUCUUGAGUACAGUAGAGGUGGGCGGAAUGCGUGGUGUAGCGGUGAAAUGCUUAGAUAUCACGAAGAACUCAGAUUGCGAAGGCAGUUCACUGGACUGCAACUGACACUGAGGCUCGAAAGUGUGGGUAUCAAACAGGAUUAGAUACCCUUGUAGUC